GUGGUGUGAUUACCAGCAAUUUCUUUCCCAAUACAUUUCUGGAUCAGUUUCUUUUUAAACAGUGACUGUGCAACUUUACUUUAGAAAAAAAAUUUAAUGUGGGUGACUCCAGGCUGGAAACAAUAAUCAUUUGAUCAUUAUAGUGAGUCAUUAACGAACUCAUGAAUUAAUGCAGCCUUGAUUCCUACAACACUGAUUAAGCAUUGCCAUGUGAACAGCAUUGUGCUAGGCCCCAAGGCAAUGAACAGGAUAGCAGGACAAGCCUUCACGCCUCGGUGAUCUCUGUUGAGAGUCAGUGUGAGUACACCCAGCGGCCUCUCUUAUCCAUGGGCAGCCCCUGCCAAGAAAAAAAUCUGGGCAUACCCGUGGUAGUGGGGUGUCGGGCUCAUUCCUUAGAGGUGUGACAACUAGAGGAAGGUGCCAUGAUUUAACAUACGGUAAAGCUGAAUCCACACGACCAUGGUCCAUGACGUAAAAGUGUCAGAGAAUCCAGACUAGAGGGCUUUUGGAGCUGGGAGCUUUAUAAACAUCCCUUGUGACUCAACUGGCAGAGAUCCCACUAACUCAGGAACUCCUGUCCACCUCCUCUUCUGUCACUGACUCUGCAAUGAAAUGGCCUUGCUUCAUUCUAGAGAUCAAAAGAGUUUGGUGUUUCCUACGUAUUUGUUUUCCCCUUUCUUGCGUGAGAAGCUGGUGAGUGCGAAUUUAUAUAUUUUGCUUUGCUGGGUCCCCCGGGGCUUGCUAUCAAAGAGCACACAUUCAUGCCACAUGUGAUUUAGAAUCCCACACGUGGAGGAACUCUAAAAUUAGUUGUUCUGUGUGCUUACAAAAUUAAUCUUAUUAUCUCGUAGCUGUAUGUUAAAUGUUAGAUAACACUUUUAUCUGUAU
This is a non-coding RNA of Chlorocebus sabaeus (green monkey), 888 nucleotides long. NCBI's taxonomy places the organism in Eukaryota, Metazoa, Chordata, Mammalia, Primates, Cercopithecidae. The record is from RefSeq and is a predicted model, not a curated record.